RNAcentral lists this ribosomal RNA (301 nucleotides) under uncultured bacterium. RNAcentral describes it as "partial 16S ribosomal RNA". It matches the Rfam family "Bacterial small subunit ribosomal RNA", at positions 509 to 809 of the family's 1533-position model. The record is from RNAcentral.
CAGCAGCCACGGUAAUACGAAGGGGGCUAGCGUUGUUCGGAUUUACUGGGCGUAAAGCGCACGUAGGCGGAUCGAUCAGUCAGGGGUGAAAUCCCAGAGCUCAACUCUGGAACUGCCUUUGAUACUGUCGAUCUGGAGUAUGGAAGAGGUGAGUGGAAUUCCGAGUGUAGAGGUGAAAUUCGUAGAUAUUCGGAGGAACACCAGUGGCGAAGGCGGCUCACUGGUCCAUUACUGACGCUGAGGUGCGAAAGCGUGGGGAGCAAACAGGAUUAGAUACCCCGGUAGUCCCUGUCUCUUAUAA